CGGGGUGCAGCAGGCGCGAAAACUUUGCAAUACACGAAAGUGUGACAGGGCUAUCCCGAGUGCCAUCCGCUGAGGAAGGCUUUUACCCAGUCUAGAACGCUGGGGGAAUAAGGAGAGGGCAAGUCUGGUGUCAGCCGCCGCGGUAAUACCAGCUCUCCGAGUGGUGUGGAUGUUUAUUGGGCCUAAAGCAUCCGUAGCUGGCUAAGUUAGUCCCUUGUUAAAUCCACCGAAUUAAUCGUUGGAUUGCGGGGGAUACUGCUUGGCUAGGGGACGAGAGAGGCAGACGGUAUUUCCGGGGUAGGGGUGAAAUCCUAUAAUCCCGGGAAGACCACCAGUGGCGAAGGCCGUCUGCUAGAACGCGCCCGACGGUGAGGGAUGAAAGCUGGGGGAGCGAACCGGAUUAGAUACCCGGGUAGUCCCAGCUGUAAACGAUGCAGGCUAGGUGUUUGGACGGCCACGUGCCGUUCUAGUGCCGCAGGGAAGCUGUUAAGCCUGCCGCCUGGGGAGUACGAUCGCAAGAUUGAAACUUAAAGGAAUUGGCGGGGGAGCAC
This 551-nucleotide ribosomal RNA is filed under the name uncultured archaeon. RNAcentral's name for it is "bacterial SSU rRNA". It matches the Rfam family "Archaeal small subunit ribosomal RNA", at positions 326 to 879 of the family's 1478-position model. The record is from RNAcentral.